This 253-nucleotide ribosomal RNA is filed under the name uncultured bacterium. RNAcentral describes it as "partial 16S ribosomal RNA". It matches the Rfam family "Bacterial small subunit ribosomal RNA", at positions 524 to 776 of the family's 1533-position model. The record is from RNAcentral.
AACGUAGGAGACAAACGUUAUCCGGAUUUACUGGGCGUAAAGGGCGUGUAGGCGGUUAGUUAAGUCUGGCGUGAAAGCUCUCGGCUAAACCGGGAGAGGUCGUUGGAUACUGGCAAACUAGAGGACGGUAGAGGCGUGUGGAAUUCCGGGUGUAGUGGUGAAAUGCGUAGAGAUCCGGAGGAACACCAGUGGCGAAGGCGACACGCUGGGCCGUACCUGACGCUAAAGCGCGACAGCAUGGGGAGCAAACGGG